Molecule: long non-coding RNA, 536 nt
Organism: Oncorhynchus tshawytscha (Chinook salmon)
Lineage: Eukaryota; Metazoa; Chordata; Actinopteri; Salmoniformes; Salmonidae
Source: Ensembl
GGCAAAUGAGAGGGACCUCAAUUACUAACUCUCUCUCUUUACCACCCCCUGGGUCAAUGACAUGGAUAAACUAAGACUCUUAGGUCAUUCAGGAGAACCUCAUGAAUAUACACAAGGAGAGUACCAAUGAAUUACAGAUAGGUGGAGAUCGUCAACGUAAUUUCUCCCCCGUCCGAUAUUGACCUGCAAGCGACACAUCACGAAUCUACAGCCAUCAACUUACUGUUGUCCUGCACAUCUAACGUGUUUCCUUGUGUCUAUCGUCAGAUGAAACAGCAUCAGCAGGAGCCUGAGACCAGAGGGUAUGGAUAAUCACUGCCAUCUUGUGGAUUUAACGGGGAGCAAACGAUUCAGCCAAGACUCGGAUCACUACCGACAUCUAGUGGCUAGUGAGUGUUACUACAGCAGAAAGACGUAUCUAUCUGGCCUAUUUUAUACAGUGGUAGCAUCCAAAUGAGGAGUCUGUACCUAAAAGACUGUGGUCAGGGUACAUAUCUACAAAGUGUCUCAGAGUAGGAGUGCUGAUCUAGGAUCAG